AUUGAACGCUGGCGGCAUGCCUUACACAUGCAAGUCGAACGGUAACAGGUCUUCGGACGCUGACGAGUGGCGAACGGGUGAGUAAUACAUCGGAACGUGCCCAGUCGUGGGGGAUAACUACUCGAAAGAGUAGCUAAUACCGCAUACGAUCUGAGGAUGAAAGCGGGGGACCUUCGGGCCUCGCGCGAUUGGAGCGGCCGAUGGCAGAUUAGGUAGUUGGUGGGAUAACGGCCCACCAAGGCAACGAUCGGUAGCCGGACUGAGAGGUUGAACGGCCACAUUGGGACUGAGACACGGCCCAG
Molecule: ribosomal RNA, 302 nt
Filed under: uncultured bacterium
Lineage: Bacteria
Description: bacterial SSU rRNA
Rfam family: Bacterial small subunit ribosomal RNA
Source: RNAcentral